This 1409-nucleotide long non-coding RNA is filed under the name Phascolarctos cinereus (koala). Its description in RNAcentral is "lncRNA (ENSPCIG00000002490.2)". The record is from RNAcentral. Lineage: Eukaryota; Metazoa; Chordata; Mammalia; Diprotodontia; Phascolarctidae.
UACAUAGACACACACAUAUACACUUAUGCACAGGCUGUAGUAUAUAUAUACAGGUCCCAUAUUUCUCUGUGUGUAUAUCCCUAGAAGUUACAUAUACCUGAAGGCCAUCAAAGAGGUCAUUGAGUUAAAGAGUUGUCAUUCAGCCCAAUCCCUUUGAAUGGAAACUGACUUUCAGAAAGUCUCAGCCAUGUUUGGAAGGUCCCCAGGUAAGAUGCAGCCCUGCCCCCUGACUGGCUAGUGGCCCAUCCCUUGCCCCAGGCCGCCCCUCCCCCUGGGCUCACAUAGAAGGGAUCCAGCCCCAGCUGAGCUUCUCUGACCUUUCCAGCUCUGAAUGGACAAUAACUGCUGAUAUUGAUUUGUCCGUGUCUGAGAGGAAGGGAAGAUGGCUCUGCCUUGAUGACUGUGCCUACCUGAACCUUCAGCUCAUUUGCUUGUUUUCCUCAGGGAGGAGCCUCAUACAUGUGCAGGGACCCCAGCAGUCAUCACUGAUGAACUGAAAGGAGGACUUUGGCAGGAGAUGGGCCCAGGCUCGGCUCCUCUGGGGUGUACUGCUCUGCAUCUCAGGUUCCCAGGGGGCUGUUGUGCUGCAGCCUCCUUGUCAGUGUCACCAGGACCCAGAGUCCACAUCAAGUGUAAGGUCAGCUCAGAUAUUUCUCAUGAUUUUCAAUGGUACCACCAGAAACCAGCAGCGACACCAAAUCUCCUUAUUCACAACUCAGCUGGCCUGGGACAGAUGUCACCCUCUGCCUCAGCUGUGCCGAACCUGAGGUCACUGAAGGCAGGUCCAUACCUCACCUCCCACAGCGCUCCAGGCCCAAACAGAACCCUCCCAUGGGGCAGAUCAGCAUGGCUUGGCUGCCCCAGCUGGUUCCUCCUGCCCUGGCAGUUGAGCGGAGGGCCACAUCUCUGCCUGGGUUCAUGGGAAGGAUUUCCUGAGGUCUGAAGGACACUGUGAGCCUGAGCCCAUCCUGUCUUCUCUCAGAAACGAGGUCACUGCUUGUGAUAGGUGAGUAUAAUGGAAUAACAUGAGGGCAAGAGAAAUGAGGACGUGGACAAUUUCAGAGGACACUGGGAAGGCCUCUGUGAACUGAUGCAGACUGAGGUGAGCAGAGCUGGGAGAGCCGCUGAAACAAGGAUAAGGAUGUGACAGAAAUAACUUGGAAAGCCUUUAGAACCGGGAUCAAGGCCAGGGUGGACCACGAGUCCCAAAGAAUGAACAUGAAAUGUCCUCACCUCCUCCCAGAGAAGGACAUACAUUUUCAGGUGUGGCAAAUGUGGGAAUUAGUUUCAUCAGAAUAUAGGACUAUAUGUUGAGGGCUUUAUUUCAAUUUUAAAAAUUUUGCUUAAUAGGAAUGGGGUGGGAGAUACUGAUUAAUAAAAAUGUAUGUUAAUUGAAAAUAAAAAUAAUA